GCAAACUUGGUCAUUUAGAGGAAGUAAAAGUCGUAACAAGGUCUCCGUUGGUGAACCAGCGGAGGGAUCAUUACCGAGUUUACAACUCCCAAACCCCAAUGUGAACGUUACCAAUCUGUUGCCUCGGCGGGAUCUCUUGCCCCGGGCGCGUCGCAGCCCCGGAUCCCAUGGCGCCCGCCGGAGGACCAACCAAACUCUUUUUUUCUCUCCGUCGCGGCUCCGUCGCGGCUCUGUUUUAUUUUUGCUCUGAGCCUUUCUCGGCGACCCUAGCGGGCGUCUCGAAAAUGAAUCAAAACUUUCAACAACGGAUCUCUUGGUUCUGGCAUCGAUGAAGAACGCAGC
This 342-nucleotide unclassified non-coding RNA is filed under the name uncultured fungus. RNAcentral describes it as "partial contains small subunit ribosomal RNA, internal transcribed spacer 1, and 5.8S ribosomal RNA". The stretch from base 1 to 73 matches the Rfam family "Eukaryotic small subunit ribosomal RNA", at positions 1759 to 1831 of the family's 1831-position model. Lineage: Eukaryota; Fungi. The record is from RNAcentral.